RNAcentral lists this ribosomal RNA (253 nucleotides) under uncultured bacterium. RNAcentral describes it as "partial 16S ribosomal RNA". It matches the Rfam family "Bacterial small subunit ribosomal RNA", at positions 524 to 776 of the family's 1533-position model. The record is from RNAcentral.
UACAGAGGUCUCGAGCGUUGUUCGGAUUCAUUGGGCGUAAAGGGUGCGUAGGCGGCGGGGUAAGUCUGAUGUGAAAUCCCGGGGCUCAACCCCGGAACUGCAUUUGAUACUGCCUUGCUUGAGGACUGGAGAGGAGACUGGAAUUCACGGUGUAGCAGUGAAAUGCGUAGAUAUCGUGAGGAAGACCAGUGGCGAAGGCGGGUCUCUGGACAGUUCCUGACACUGAGGCACGAAGGCCAGGGGAGCAAACGGG